CCAUCCCUUCUUUGCUCCUCUGAAGCACAUUUGAGGUUUAAUGAAUACACCCUUGCAUUAUAAACUGCACAUCUAGACAGUUUAUUUGACAUGAUGUACAAAACAUAAACACAGAUGAAUCGCAUGUCCAGCCUUUAUCAUACUGUGAUAAACAUGAUACAAGUUACACAUGAAUUGAAGCAACUUGACCUUAAGUACCUUAUUAUUCUGUGGGGUUCAUCCAC
Molecule: non-coding RNA, 224 nt
Organism: Pelobates cultripes (western spadefoot toad)
Lineage: Eukaryota; Metazoa; Chordata; Amphibia; Anura; Pelobatidae
Source: the annotation of a GenBank genome assembly